UUCUAUCACCUUAUAUCCUUAAAAUACCUGGUCUUUUCUGAACACUGGAGCUAAGCAGGAUCAGGACUAGCUGGACCUUGAUAGGAACUCUCUUUGAUAAAAAGCCUGUCUAGGAG
Gorilla gorilla gorilla (western lowland gorilla) is the source of this 116-nucleotide ribosomal RNA. The record is from Ensembl. NCBI's taxonomy places the organism in Eukaryota, Metazoa, Chordata, Mammalia, Primates, Hominidae.